GGAAUCUUUCGCAAUGGGCGCAAGCCUGACGGAGCAACGCCGCGUGCAGGAUGACGGCCUUCGGGUUGUAAACUGCUUUUAUAUCCGAGAAAUAUGAUGGUAAGAUAUGAAUAAGGACCGGCUAACUACGUGCCAGCAGCCGCGGUCAUACGUAGGGUCCAAGCAUUAUCCGGAGUGACUGGGUGUAAAGAGUUGCGUAGGCGGCAUGGUAAGUAGAUAGUGAAAUCUGGUGGCUCAACCAUUCAGACUAUUAUCUAAACUGCCAAGCUCGAGAUCGUUAGGGGUAGCUGGAAUUUCUAGUGUAGGAGUGAAAUCCGUAGAUAUUAGAAAGAACACCGAUAGCGUAGGCAGGCUACUGGGGCGAUUCUGACGCUAAGGCACGAAAGCGUGGGGAGCAAACG
This 401-nucleotide ribosomal RNA is filed under the name uncultured Candidatus Saccharibacteria bacterium. Its description in RNAcentral is "bacterial SSU rRNA". It matches the Rfam family "Bacterial small subunit ribosomal RNA", at positions 358 to 774 of the family's 1533-position model. The record is from RNAcentral. Lineage: Bacteria; Candidatus Saccharimonadota.